UCUUUGGUAGUAUAGUGGUUAGUAUACCCGCCUGUCAUGAUUAUGUCCUUGUUACAGUUCUGUUCGCGGGUGACCGGGGUUCAAUUCCCCGCCAGAGAG
This is a non-coding RNA of Geopyxis carbonaria, 99 nucleotides long. Lineage: Eukaryota; Fungi; Ascomycota; Pezizomycetes; Pezizales; Tarzettaceae. The record is from the annotation of a GenBank genome assembly.